GACGAACGCUGGCGGCGUGCUUAACACAUGCAAGUCGAACGAAGUGGCGCACGGGUGAGUAACGCGUAAUCAACCUGCCCUUCAGCGGGGGACACCAGUUGGAAACGACUGCUAAUACCGCAUACUUACGGAGGGGGUUGCGUCUGAUUAGCUAGUUGGAGGGGUAACGUCCCACAAAGGCGAGGAUCAGUAGCCGGUCUGAGAGGAGGAACGGCCCAAUUGGGACUGAGAAACGGCACAGACGACGAAGGGAGGCAGCAGUGGGGAAUCUUCCGCAAUGGACGAAAGUCUGACGGAGCAACGCCGCGUGAGUGAUGACGGCCUUCGGGUUGUAAAGCUCUGUUAAUCGGGACGCGGUACCGGAAUAGAAAGCCACGGCUAACUACGUGCCAGCAGCCGCGGUAAUUC
This 408-nucleotide ribosomal RNA is filed under the name uncultured bacterium. RNAcentral describes it as "partial 16S ribosomal RNA". It matches the Rfam family "Bacterial small subunit ribosomal RNA", at positions 28 to 526 of the family's 1533-position model. The record is from RNAcentral.